UUCUAACUGUUAGUUGGAGUUGUU
This 24-nucleotide small nuclear RNA is filed under the name Arabidopsis thaliana (thale cress). Its description in RNAcentral is "snRNA_18433". The record is from RNAcentral. Lineage: Eukaryota; Viridiplantae; Streptophyta; Magnoliopsida; Brassicales; Brassicaceae.